Molecule: ribosomal RNA, 352 nt
Filed under: uncultured bacterium
Lineage: Bacteria
Description: bacterial SSU rRNA
Rfam family: Bacterial small subunit ribosomal RNA
Source: RNAcentral
GAGGGCACUAGUGAUUCAGGCCUAACACAUGCAAGUCGAGCGGUAGAGAGAAGCUUGCUUCUCUUGAGAGCGGCGGACGGGUGAGUAAUGCCUAGGAAUCUGCCUGGUAGUGGGGGAUAACGUUCGGAAACGGACGCUAAUGCCGCAUACGUCCUACGGGAGAGAGCAGGGGACCUUCGGGCCUUGCGCUAUCAGAUGAGCCUAGGUCGGAUUAGCUAGUUGGUGAGGUAAUGGCUCACCAAGGCGACGAUCCGUAACUGGUCUGAGAGGGUGAUCAGUCACACUGGAACUGAGACACGGGCCAGACUCCUACGGGAGGCAGCAGUGGGGAAUAUUGGACAAUGGGCGAAAG